RNAcentral lists this ribosomal RNA (342 nucleotides) under Triticum aestivum (bread wheat). RNAcentral describes it as "partial small subunit ribosomal RNA". The record is from RNAcentral. Lineage: Eukaryota; Viridiplantae; Streptophyta; Magnoliopsida; Poales; Poaceae.
AUGGACAAGCAAACGAUCCGGAUCGCUGCGCUGGCCCUGCUAUCUCUACACCUCCUAUGCUCCGCCACCAUAGCGCAAUGCCGAACCGUCGCAGCCGGCAUGGACAACGACGAUAUCCAUGAAAUGAGCGUGGGUUGCCAGAAAAAGUGCUCCUACGCCUAUCAUUGUUGCAUCUGUUGUAUUAAUACUGACUGGUGCUACACAAGUUCCGAGAGGUGCGAUAGAAACUGCCCGGAUCUCUUCUCGCAUUCUGAUGAAACUGUGCUGACCAGGUCUGCAGUACGCACGGACGGCUUGAUGAGAGGCAUCAUCCCACAAGAGUUCGGCAAUUGUCGUGUGUAG